GGCGGCAGGCCUAAUACAUGCAAGUCGAGCGCGCCCUUCGGGGUGAGCGGCGGACGGGUGAGUAACGCGUGGGAAUAUGCCCUUCUCUAAGGAAUAGCCUCUGGAAACGGAGAGUAAUACCUUAUACGCCCUUUGGGGGAAAGAUUUAUCGGAGAAGGAUUAGCCCGCGUUAGAUUAGGUAGUUGGUGGGGUAAUGGCCUACCAAGCCUACGAUCUAUAGCUGGUUUGAGAGGAUGAUCAGCCACACUGGGACUGAGACACGGCCCAGACUCCUACGGGAGGCAGCAGUAGGGAAUCUUAGACAAUGGGGGCAACCCUGAUCUAGCCAUGCCGCGUGUGUGAUGAAGGCCCUAGGGUCGUAAAGCACUUUCGCCAGAGAUGAUAAUGACAGUAUCUGGUAAAGAAACCCCGGCUAACUCCGUGCCAGCAGCCGCGGUAAUACGGAGGGGGUUAGCGUUGUUCGGAAUUACUGGGCGUAAAGCGCACGUAGGCGGAUUAGUAAGUUAGAGGUGAAAUCCCAGGGCUCAACCCUGGAACUGCCUUUAAUACUGCUAGUCUUGAGUUCGAGAGAGGUAAGUGGAAUUCCGAGUGUAGAGGUGAAAUUCGUAGAUAUUCGGAGGAACACCAGUGGCGAAGGCGGCUUACUGGCUCGAUACUGACGCUGAGGUGCGAAAGUGUGGGGAGCAAACAGGAUUAGAUACCCUGGUAGUCCACACCGUAAACGAUGAAUGCCAGACGUCAGCAAGUAUACUUGUUGGUGUCACACCUAACGGAUUAAGCAUCCGC
RNAcentral lists this ribosomal RNA (786 nucleotides) under uncultured Planktomarina sp. Its description in RNAcentral is "bacterial SSU rRNA". It matches the Rfam family "Bacterial small subunit ribosomal RNA", at positions 38 to 872 of the family's 1533-position model. Lineage: Bacteria; Pseudomonadati; Pseudomonadota; Alphaproteobacteria; Rhodobacterales; Paracoccaceae. The record is from RNAcentral.